UCCUACGGGAGGCAGCAGUGGGGAAUAUUGCGCAAUAGGGCGAAAGCCUGACGCAGCGACGCCGCGUGGGUGAUGAAGGCCUUCGGGUCGUAAAGCCCUGUCGGGUGGAACGAAUCCCCGCACCUCGAAUACAGGGGCGGGUUGACGGUACCACCGAAGGAAGCCCCGGCUAACUACGUGCCAGCAGCCGCGGUAAU
This 197-nucleotide ribosomal RNA is filed under the name uncultured bacterium. RNAcentral describes it as "partial 16S ribosomal RNA". It matches the Rfam family "Bacterial small subunit ribosomal RNA", at positions 337 to 524 of the family's 1533-position model. The record is from RNAcentral.